AAAGAGCUAGUUAGAGUUUAAGUGUGACAUGUCUGUUGUUGAUCCUCUAAAGGAGGAUCAGAUCAUACUCACAUAGUCUGUUUUGAGCUUGGUGGUGGUGCGUCACCAAGCAGUGCACUCGGAGGUUGUCAUAAUGAUGGGCUAAAUAUUUGCCCAUGACUAAAGUAUUGUCCAGCAGACGAUCUCCGUCGGGAGGGCAGCUUAGCCCGAUUAUUCGGGGAUUGCGUUGGUGAGUUAUUGUUAACCAAGGGUUAACCAAUGGAAUUGGGUAUUUAAUAAAAGUCCAUGCAUGCAUAUUCACCAGUUUCAUAUAUUACUUCUUUCAGCUUUUGUACAGGCAUUGUAGCAGUUACAUGUUAUACUUGGUUACUAUUGUUUACUUUUCUUGUCUACAUACGCUUGAAUAGACCUAGUGGGUGAUUGGCGAGGUGGGGGCCGAACCACUGGAAACUUUUUAGUAGUUCUCAUACACUAACCAUACAGGUUCUAGUGCGAGCGGUGUGGUCGAGGAUCGCGGCAAGAGCCUGCAGCUUAGCUAGCAGACACCAGUGUUUGGUAUAUACACGUUUGGUUCCAUAUUGUACAUAAUGGAUGAAUAGAGACUUGUAAAUGAAUGUAUAAAAAGCAUGUAAAUAACUAAAUGUUUCAGUUAUUAGUUAUGUAUAGUUUCAGUUUUAAAAGUUUAUAAAUUACAGUGAAUUUUAUGUAUAGUUAGUUACUUCACUUGUGUUUUUCUGUUGCUUGCCCUCGUGCAGCAUGUAUAUUGAAAUAUUCUCCUGGGAUUAUUUCUUUCUUUAUCGGUAGACUAUAAUUGUUGAGCCUUGGGUGGACAGGGAGGUGCUGUCCGUUCGGCGUCUGUGUAGCGGGCCCGGAUCGACAAAUUGGCGAUAGCGGACGUGACAGAUUAAUAGUAUCAGAGCAAUGGAAGAAAGUAUAGGAUGGACGUAGGGAUCUUAGGAUGGAAACAUAAGGAUCUAGGUUCGUGGGAGACGAGAAUCUUAGUGUGUGCGAAAGAUAAACCGAUUGGUGCUAUAUGUUAUAAACCUUACAAAGGAUGUUGGAGUGAAUCCAGGUGUAGUUUAUUCUCAGCAGAGGAGAGUUUCAUGUUGGAUGCGUACCAUGAAACGAGUGAUGAGAAUAGGCUCCCUUGUAUGAUUGCUGAUUUGAGUCGGGUUGACGAUAGUUGUCUCGUGUUUGCACUGGAGGGUCAAAUUUGUCACGUUAUUGUGCGUUUCUCUGUUUUGUGUCGCCAUCUCUAAUGAGAUGGAUGUGGUUUGGGGAUGAGUGAAGUCCCUAAACUGACUGAGCUUAGAGGGAAACUCGAAGACUCUGGGGUCGAUUAGUCAUGUUUGUUGUAGUAUGGUAGCGAUGAGUCACUGUGAUGCAAUGUCAACAGGUUGUCUUUGCGUUUGGCGGAUUGGAUCGAUGAGCUUCAGAGGGCUGUGAAGUAGGUAAUGUGGCUCCUGGCUUUGUGCACAGAAAAUAAAAUGAAGAGCGAUUAUAGAUUGGUUCCGAGAAGUGUUUUCUCUGUAGGAUUUGUAUAUCUAGAACAGAAUAAAGAAUAUAUUGUUAAGAGUAACGACAGGUGAAUUAUCGGAUAAGCUUUGAUGCUAUAGCAGGGUGCUGCUCAGUGGAAGAGUAUGUAGGAGAAGUUUUCUGCACACUAAAUUGUGUUUAGUACACAAUGUGAGAUAUUGGACUGUUAUGGUGGGUGAAGACUUACAACCAAUGUGUCGGAGUGUGGCAUUUAUGAAUUGCAAUCCUCUGAUGAAGUAUUAAAUUAGACCUUGUGGUGAAGUCAGGUGAGUUUCGUGUGGAGAGAGCGCGAACUAAUUAGUUGAUAAUGGAGGAUGAUUGACUAAUGUAUGGUUUGGUGAUCAAUGCGACCAUGAGCGACACCAAAGUAGAAUUGUGUCGCGAUUCAAUGUCGAAAAGGUCUUCUGCUGACUAUUUCGAGAGGAAUGGUUGUUGUGAUUUCACCCACGUGGGAUGGUGUGUGUUGUUGAUGGAUGAGGUUGUAGUAGAGUUGGAUCUUCAAUAAGAGAAAAUUGUAUGCUUAGAGAUGAUGUGAACCUAAGCGAGACAUGCAAGAAUACGUACAAGGAUGUGAUAGAGACUGAUUUGGGUAUGAAUGUAAUACUAGGUGUCUAGAUGAGCCAGUGAAUUGGCUUAUAGGAACCGAGGUAGGGCUCAGGGUUGAUUGGAACCAGGUGAACUAGUUCUUUUAAGCAUUAAAAUGAUAGCGAGAGUCAAGCUUAGGACGUUAGAAAACGUUCAUAAAGUUUGAGAAGUCGGAUGAUGUUCCGAUGAAUCGCGUAGUGGUAAUAGCGUCGUUGUUGUAGAGUGGUUAGAUGAUCGCCUAGUUUUGGCGAGUUAGUCGAGCGGUACCUCAAAUAAGUUGAGGAAAUUUGUGUUUGUGCAUCGUAGGCGUAGGCUGAGUUGCCUAGCAUGUGGUGUUUAGUAAGAAAUGUGAUAGUAUAUGACGCUUGAGUAUAGGCGUCUGUAGAGUACGGAUUGUGGCUCAGUCAAGAGAGUGUGUUGGCAGUAGCACUUGAGCGUUGCUAGGUGUGAAGCGUGCCAUGGAUCACUCGUGCGGCUGGUGGCUCGCACUAAGUGCUUAGGAGCCGAUAGUGAUGUGGAUUGCUCGAUAGAACGUUUCGUGAAUGACGACGAUUGUGGAUAGUGCUUUGGGACGAUCCGUGCCUGGACCAUAUGUGCGCUAUGAGGCCUAGGGCCAUUUGGAUAGGCGCAGUUAGCUGUGUGGCAGCGGCCGGAUAUUUGUGGAUAGAACAGAGAUUUUGGUCAGGACGGUAGUCCGAGUUUGAAUAGGUAACGUGAUGUGUCACGUAUUAGACCGUGUGAUCGAUAGUACGCUGAGAAUGUGAAUUUGACCCACCCUUAAAAGUUGUAAGUGGUUUGGGAUUUGGAUUACUCCUGAUUGGGUUAAGUGUGCGAGCUCUCAACUGAGGACUUUGCCUUAUGAUGAUUGAGUAUGCGCUUGUGAGCGAGAGACGUUGUGUGAUAUUGUGACCGAGUUAGGUGAUAGGCCUACGUCGGAUCGGUGGGUUGUAAACCGAUAUAUGAUAGUUGGGACAAAUGGUUUAACCAAUUAUUCUCGAAAUGCAAGUGCUAGGUAAGAUGUUGUGGAUCUGGGGUAGUGACCAUAGGAGCGAAGGCUCGGUCCUACCGUUCGUUUAUUUUGAAUCGCCGAGUUAGGCGCUGACAAUGAGUUGAGAUUAGAGGCACGAACAAAGUGUUCGUGGAGACUUGUGGUGAUAAAUCGGUAUAACGCACAAUGUGGCUGAGAAAACAGAUACUACCUGGUAAACUCAUAUGUGAAUUGAGGAAGUUUAUCUAUGUGUAAGAUGUUGUGAGAUAUGGUAAGCGAUGGAAUCACUUUGGAAUUUGAAAUGUUGAGAUAUAGAAACGUGGCAACUGAGGUGAGAAAAUGCACCAUGAGUUCAAAUUGUCGAGCAGAACUCCAUAGGUGUUUCAAAGUGGGAGGCAUGGAGUUACUAGACGAAGCGAUUUGAGAACAAUAUCAAGGGUGCAUUCGGGACUUGUAAUAAUGAGAAAAUUUUAGAAUGAUAUAAUUUUGUAUAUUGGAAUUUGUUUCAUCUGGGUGAGGUGUCUAAGUUUCAGAUGAGCAGAGAGGUGUCUAAGUUUCGCGGACGAAACUUUUGGUUAACGGGAGAAGAAUGUAAUAUACCGGAAUUUUAAUAUAAAAAUAGAUGUAAAUAAAAAUAGUGUAAAAUACUAUUUUUAUUGGAUUUCGAGGAGUAAAAUAUAAGUCGAAAAUGACUUGUGCGAAAUUAGGGUGAAAACAGAAGAUUUAAAAUUUUCUGUAAGGAACGGGGCUGAUAUUUUAGCAGAAAAUGCACAGUGUCAGAAAAUUAUGAAAACUAGAGAAUAUGUCAGAAUUAUUUUUGUGAGGCUAGAUUUAAAGUUUCAUGUCAUUCUGACACCCGAUUAAUGUAUCGAGCAAUGCAAGUGAAGUAUAGGAUGGACGUGAGGACCUUAGGAUGAAACCAUAGGAUCUAGUUUCGUGAGAGCGAGAUCUUGUGUAUGGCGAGGUUUAACCGAUUGGGUCAUUGUUAAUAUAUCUCAAGGAUGUUAGAGGUGAAUCAGGUGUGUAUUUCAGCGGGGAUUCAUUGUUGGGUGCGUACACCAUGACGUGAUGAGAAUAGGCGCAGUCUUGAUAUGAUCAUUGCAUGAUUUGAGUCGGGGUUGCGAUAGAAUUGUUGUGUUUGACUGGAGGUCCAAAUUUGGUCCGUUAUUGAAUGCGUUUAUGGUUUUGUGUCUGACCGAUCUCUAAUUGAGAUCGAUGUGCGUUCUGGGAGAGUGAAAGUCCUAAAUGCGGAGCUUGAGUAAAUCCGAAUGUUGGGGCCUCGCAUUGUCAUGUUUUUGUAGUAUGGUAGCGGUAUGAGUCAUGUUGAUGCAUGUCAACGGUUGUCUGGUUUUGGAACGGAUUGGAUCGAUGAGAUUCAGGGGUGUGAAGUAAAGGUAAUGGGCUCCUGAUUGUGUGCAAGAAUAUAGAUGCGAUUAUAGAUUGAGUUCCGGCGGGUUUUUCUGACAGGAUUUGUAUAUUGGAAAGAAUAAGAAUAUAUUGUUUAAGACCAGUGAACGAGGUGAAUUAUCGGCUAGUUUGGAUGCCUAUAGUAGCGGACUUGUUCGUGGUAAGGUAUGUAGAGAGUUUCUGACACUAAAUUGGUGUGUUAGUACACAAUGUGAGUAUUGGCUGUUUGGUGGAGUGGAUACUACAAUGUGUCGAUGAUUUUGUGCAUUUAUGAAUUGAAGCUUGAUUAAGUAUUAACUUAGAGGACCUUGAUGUUGAAGAGGGUGAUGUUUCGUGUGGAGAGAGCGCCGAACGAAUUAGUUGAUAUGGAGGUGGUGACUAGAUGUUUUGGUUGGCGGAUCAAAUCGGAUGGAGCGAACCCAAAAGUAGAAUUGUAGUCGCCAGAUUUCAAUGUCGAAAGGUUUUCUGGGAUAUUCGAGAGGAAUUGCGUUGUGGUGAUUUUCAACGAUGUGGCGUGUGUGUUGCUUGGGAUGGAUGGAGGUUGUAGUAGUUUGACUUCAAUAAGAGAAAUUGUUGCUUGAGAUUGAUGUGAACUAAGCGCAUUGUAGAUACGUUACAAGGGAUGUGAUAGAGAACUGUUAUUUGGGUAGAUGUUAUACCUAGUGUGCAUGAUGAUUGCCAGUGAAUGGUUAUACAGUGACGAGGUUAGGGCUCAGGUGUAAUUGGAAAGAGUGAACUAGUUCUUUAAGCUUAAAAAUGAUAGCGAGAGUUCAGUUAGGAAGGUGGGUGGUGCUAUCCGAAAUCUUUGAAUCACCUUUUAUGUCUAUGAUAAUUCAUUGAGCAUAUUUAUAUUUGUAGUCAUACAUUAUAGGGUAUUGGCAUUGUGCAAGUGAAAGUAUGAAUUCCUAUCAACAGUAAGAACAUGUGAACAUUAGAAUGUGGAUAUAGAACCCUAUGAAUGUAUGGACUAUAACAAUAGUGAACUUGGUGACAUUCUAACUAGAGAUUUGGUUAGCAUUGAGAAAUGAAAGUGCAACUAGCAUAAAGAGCUAGUUAGAGUUAAAGUAUGACAUUGUCUAUUGUUGAAUCCUCUAAAGGAGGAUCAGAUCAUACUCACAUAGUCUGUUUUGAGCUUGGUGGUGGUCGCUCCACCCAAGCAGUGCACUCCGGAGGUUGUCAUAUGAUGGGCUAAAGUAUUUGCCCAUGAACUAAAGUAUCUGUCCAGCAGACGAUCCCGUCGGGAGGCAGCUUAGGGCCCGAUUAUCAGGGAUUGCGUUGGUGAGUUAUUGUUAACCAAAGGGUUAACCAAUGGAUUGGGUAAUUUCAAUAAAAGCAUGCAUGCAUAUUCACCAGUUUUCAUAUAUUACUUCUUUCAGCUUUGUAUAGGCAUUGUAGUAGUUACAUGUUAUAGUUGGUUACUAUCUGUUUACUUUUCUUGCCUACAUAUGCCUGAAUAGACCUAGUGGGUGAGUUGGCGAGGUCGACGGCCGAACCCACUGGGAACUUUUAGUAGUUCUCAUACCACUAACCAUACAGGUUCUAGUGCGAGCGGUGUGGUCGAGGAUCGCGGCAAGAGCCCUGCAGCUUAGCUAGCAGACACCAGUGUUUAGUGGUAUAUACACGUUUGGUUUCAUAUUGUACAUAAUGAUGAAUAGAGACUUGUAAAUGAAUGUAUAAAAGAGCAUGUAAAUAACUAAAUGUUUCAAUUAUUCAGUUAUGUAUAGUUCAGUUUUAAAAGUUUUAAAUUAUAGGAAAUUUUAUGUAUAGUUAGUUACUUUCACUUGUGCUUGUUGCUUGCCCUCGUGCAAGCCAUGUAUAUUGAAAUAUUCUCCUGGGAUUAUUUCUUUCUUUAUACGUGUAGCUAUAAUUGUUGAGCCUUGGGCAGACAGGGGAGGUGCUGUCCGUUCGGCGUCUGUGUACGGGCCCGGAUCGACCAAAUUGGCAAUAGCGGGACGUGACACUAGGGAUUGGGGCAAGGGGUUGGCGACUAGCUAGAGCCCUAUGGAGAUACAUUAGAUGGACCCAGUGUCAUCAUUCCUUUUGUACUUAUGGAAAUGAUGUACUAUGUUUUUUGCUUCUGAGUAGUCAUAGGAUUCUGGAUAUUAGUAGUACUUUUGUAUAGUUUGUGAGUCUUCUAAUAUUAGAAUUUUAUGGUUUUAUUGUAUUCGCUCUGAUAACCUUGUUAGUAUCUUGAACUUGUUCAUUCUUUUGGUAGACGCCUUGUGUGCAUUAUGGUUAUUUGGUGUACAUGGCGGGUCUGGACACGUUACUGUGAGCUUCCGCUGAAGUCCAGGGCGUGACAGUUGUAGUGCUCACAUGACAGGAAAAGGAUAUUUAUUUAUUGAGAUGGAUAAAUCGAUACGGAAAUCGAUCAAAAUAGGAGAUGGCCGAGUUCGUGAAGCACAAGGAAAAGAGUGGUGAAGGUAAUUUU
This 6947-nucleotide long non-coding RNA is filed under the name Ananas comosus (pineapple). Its description in RNAcentral is "long non-coding RNA (ACOM_LNC021011)". Lineage: Eukaryota; Viridiplantae; Streptophyta; Magnoliopsida; Poales; Bromeliaceae. The record is from RNAcentral.